UAUGUAACAAAUAUAUUAUCUGUUGAUUAUUGUCCUAUUGAACUUUUCUGUAUAUUAUUGUCUAUCAUUUUGUUUGACUAUAUUUUAAUUCACAUGGAAAAAGCUUGAUGCAUCAUUUAUGUAAUUGCUUAUAAAAUAUAACUAGAUAAGUAAACAUAAAAACAAAAUUAGCCGGAUACUAACGGUCGACAGUUAGGUGGAUGACUCAUGUACACCUCGCCAUGUGAGUCCUCAUCUUUGUAUCUUCCUUAAUUUCUGGAUAUUCAAUGAACAUUUUGUAAUAAUAAAUUAAAAUUCAGUUUUAACUCAAUAUAAAUGAAUAGAAACUA
This 329-nucleotide long non-coding RNA is filed under the name Brassica rapa (field mustard). RNAcentral's name for it is "long non-coding RNA (BRAP_LNC006613)". The record is from RNAcentral. Lineage: Eukaryota; Viridiplantae; Streptophyta; Magnoliopsida; Brassicales; Brassicaceae.